Long non-coding RNA from Chenopodium quinoa (quinoa), 1108 nucleotides. RefSeq lists it as uncharacterized. The transcript has 3 exons. The record is from RefSeq and is a predicted model, not a curated record. NCBI's taxonomy places the organism in Eukaryota, Viridiplantae, Streptophyta, Magnoliopsida, Caryophyllales, Amaranthaceae.
UGUUUGAGGAAUUGAUAUCUUUUGUUACGAUUGAAUCUUUUGUUGUAUUUAUUUCUAUAGCACAAUCUUUCUUUUGUUUAUAAGAGACUAUUGCUUUCUGUUUAGCAAUUAGAGACUAAAGAGUGUUUCAUGUUGAGUUUGAGAGGAAAUAACAAUCUGUUUUAGAUUCUGAUAUCCGCUCUUAUGAUAAUCCGUUAUUGAAAAUUAACUUUUUAUGGUGAAUAUAUCAGUUACAGCUAUAAUUGAUUUCAGUAUUUGAACUUUUAUAAAUAAGUUGAUUUUAUUUUAUUUAGUGCUAAUUUGAAACUUUUUUUUUGUUACACCUUAAUGUUUCUAAAAAUGCAAUUUUAUUAGUAUUUUAGCUACCUUGCACUAUUCAUUUUUCUAAUUUACCUCUAUUUCGUUGCUAGUUUUACUUCUCUCUAUAUUUUCAACCCAUUUUCCCGAGAGUUUCUCAAGAGUCUGAUGGUGAAUCGUUGGCGACCACCAACCACGACCAGGCUAUCUUUUUCACUUUCAACAAUUCCUUCAAAAUGAAGAACGCUUCGAUUUUGAGGGUUUGGUGAAGAAUUGGGAGAAUUCAGGCAACUUUGCAAAUUCUGAUUCUGAGCAAAUGGUUGCACAUGUUCGAUUAUUUAACUGUUAUAUUGUUCGUUUGUUUGAUUGAAGAAGCUUAUCACCCUAUAGUCGAAGCACUUGUCAGGAGCAAUUUGGUUCUCUGUCUCUAUACACUAUACGCAGCUGCCGAGUAGAUAGGCGGUGAUAGUAGCAAUGGUGGUGGCUUCGAAAAGGGGGAAGAAAGAGAGUGGGGACUGGGAUGAAGUGUAAUCCCCCGUAUUUUUUUUAAAAUAUUUUAUAAAUGAAAUAUUAUUUUAUUUAUAAUAUUUAUUUGUUAUUUUCCGUAAUUUAAUGUCAAAAGUUUCAAAUGAUUACUCUGGGUCGAAAAUUAUUUGAACAAAUUAUUUUAUGCACCUUUAUUCUACAAUUUAUGUCCAAUCAAACAAGCCUAACCCAUUUGUUUACUUAAUUGACCCAUUAUUUUUAUAAGGUCCAAUCUUCCUAUUUACCCUACAAUUCUCCUAUAAAUACCCCAUGAAUCCCCAAAAAU